UGGAGUGAAAAGAAAAAACAUAAGAUAUCAUGAAGAUAUGGACAGUAUAUGAAAAAUGGAUCGAAGAAGCCAGAUUUAACAAAGAGCCAUGGAGUGAGAGAAUAAGAAGAAUGAAUCUCCUACUGCUUGCAUGAAAUAACCAAUAGAAAGAAGGGGGGAGAAAAUGGAAAAAAUG
Molecule: long non-coding RNA, 175 nt
Organism: Sphaerodactylus townsendi
Lineage: Eukaryota; Metazoa; Chordata; Lepidosauria; Squamata; Sphaerodactylidae
Exons: 3
Source: RefSeq, a predicted model, not a curated record